Molecule: long non-coding RNA, 5788 nt
Organism: Trachemys scripta elegans
Lineage: Eukaryota; Metazoa; Chordata; Testudines; Emydidae
Exons: 3
Source: RefSeq, a predicted model, not a curated record
GGCUGAAAUGAAGAAGGUAAAGAAGGAGCUGGAACAACUGGCCCUGAGGGAGCCUGAAUUCUAUUUAUGGCAUUAACUAAAACGAUGUUUGUAUGUCAGACCAGACAGGGCUGGAAGUAUGCUCCAGUCCCUUAGCUUGUAAGCUGCCAUGGAAAAGAGGUUUGUAUUCUGGGCAUGUAAAAAAAUCCACAUCCAUUACAGAAACUUCAUAGACUGUGAUGCUGACAAGAAAUGGAGCCUUUACUAUUCUUACUGAACAACCCUCUGAAAAUGCAGUAGACAGGACCUUAAAGAUGAUCAGCUGCAUGUUGCAAGCUCAGAAAGCAGAGCAUUUUCCUCUGCUCCCUCCUCUGAUCGAAGUGCUUGUUGUGAUGUUAUCUGCUCUUAAAGGGAAACACAGAAUCCUGAACCCAGGAGCAGCAGGGCACGUUUAAUGGGUAGAAGAUGGGAAAUGUAAAGCUGAGACUGAUGUUACACCUUGGCUUAUGGCACUGCAGCAAGAAAGGGAACUGUAGUGUGACCUAAGCAGGGUGAGUUAUUAACCAUACAUUUUCUCGUUGGUAUCCCUUUGGCGUCCCUUUAUUGCUUGGAAUGAUCAAUUACUUUGUCCCAGACACAAACCUCCUGCACUUUCCACAAUAACUGAUUAGCAGGGAAACUGGUCAGGGGCUGGUAAAAUGUGCUUGUCUCAACAAGCCAAAUGGAAACACAUUUGCAGGGGCCACUUGCCAUCCUCUGAGGAUUGCAGGAUCAGGAUUCCUCUGUUGCCUGCCCUCUUAGCCUUCAAGUCAGGGUCAGGCCAAAGGCUAAGUUCCAUUGCCUGUUUCCCCUUUAACUCCCAUUGCAGAUCCCCCUGCAGACCCUGGCGAUCUAAGGGGGAUUGGGUCGGUGGGAAUCAGGGGCUUCCCAAUCCAGGACACGUCUCUAACUACUGUGCCCAAGGUCUGAGCACUUCUGCCAUUGGGCACCUUCCGAUUCAGUAAAGAUGGGUCAGCUGAUGUGGGCUAUGUGGGGAAGAGGAACUGGUUAUGGUUGUACCCGGAGUCACAGGAUGAAAUUAAGCAAUAGUUAACUGAGCUGUAUUUCAGGAAAACUUCCCACAGGGGAGAUCUAUAAGAUAGGAAUAUAGUUUCCCAGGGAAGUGGUAAAAGCCUCACACCUAUCUACCAUACGGAAUAAUCCUUCAUUGACAGGGACCUAACUGACAUGGGCGACCUACCUGUUUUGUUUCCUCAGGCUUCUGAUUCUAGUAAUAAAUCCCAAAUUUUGCACUUCUCCCUUUGCUGGAUUGAUCAGUGUCCGCACUGUCUACUGCCAGAGUAACAUAUGGAAAAUGAUACACAAGCACCACCUAGAGGCAACAAAGAGGAUUAAAAAGAGAUGAUUACUUAUUCCCAUUCAGCAAUGAACAAAUCAAGUCAGUUACAUCUCAGAGGGGAGGGGGUUUUCAGUGACCAUCAGCAUGCAUAGAGCUGUCAUAGGAACGGAUUCCAGUGGGAGUUGCUGACUCUACCCUGGAGAAGAAGAGACUGGCAGCUCAACCAUUGUGUCCUCCAUUUAAAUGGAAAUUAAUAGGUGUUCGGUCCCAUUGUCAGAAACCCAGACACCUGGCAACCCUAAAAUGAUAAGGGGCAGUCCCUAGGCACUCUCUGGAGGCAGUGAUUACACGGGAGCUGUUUUCACAAUCUUGUGGGGCUCUGAGGGCUCAUGGCCUCAUGCCAGCCCUGUACAUUCAGUGGUUGCUAGUGAGCUAAUUCUUUACUCUUUGGGGAUGUGUUUUGCUGGUUUUCACAUGUGACCAGAUUAAUCCCUGGGGUGACCCCGGUGACUCUCCCCCACAAAUACCUACUAGAUAAGAGUGCUACAAAGUCAAAAGAAACUGAAGAUGGAUUGCAAGACUCAUCAUUAAACCCUGAGGGGGAAAUUUUCAGAAGCCCCAAAGACAUUUAGGAGCACAAAACACAUUGACUUUCAAUUGGACUCAGGCCCUAAAUACCUUCUGUGCAUUCAAAAGUCCCCCCGCCCCCAUCCCCAGCCUUGUGGGAAAACUAGUCUUACAAAAUACUUAAUCGCUGGUCUCCAGAUAUCAUCACAUGGAAAAAUGACAUAUAGAUUGAGAGCAAUAUCGCUUCUCAGCUCUCUGAGCUCUGGUCAAGUGUAGUAUAUCAAUUUAAUAAUGGAUAUAUCUAGAGCUGGUCAAAUCAUUUUCACUAAAAAUGGCUUUUAAGAUGUGGGGGGAAAUGCAAUGAUUUUUGCGUAAUCAUUUUAUAUCAUUCAAAAUUGUCCAGUUUCUCAUCAAAGUAAAAAAAAAUUGCUUUGAAUCAGUUUUGCAGGGAUUUUUUUCUUUUUUGUCCCUCCUCUUUUUCGGGGGAGGGGGGGAGGGAGAGAAAGGAGGGAAUAAACUAUACCAGGAAACAAAAAUAAUGGUUUCAGCCAACAUUUUAAAAACUCUAUGAGCCAUUUAGAAUGAAAUUAAAAUUGUUUAAUUUUCUUUUUAAUUUUUUUAAAUUAAUUGCCAUUUUUCAACCAGUUCUAGAUACAUCCUUUACAUGGGAGAUUUAAUUGCAGCAAAAUUACCAGUGUGUAACACUGCUCUCUACUGGAGGAAAUCAGACCAGCUUAGCAGUGGUGUUGGCCCUAUAGUGAAAAGAAAUUCUUUUAUUUUGACCAGUAGGGACCAGGAAAACAUGAGAUCUAUCUCACUAUUACUGCAGAGUUCUGAGUGGCCCAUACUAAGCAGCACAGGAAGAACCACGAAGUUCCUAAAUAGUCCCGGGUAUGGCUCUGAAAGUUUUUUCCAUUGCAAUCUAUGAUGAUCCAAUAUAUUUUCCAUACCGAGGUAUGAGGGAGUAUACCUGAAGAUGCCAUUGAACCACUGAGAUUUUAUUCCAUGGAAAUCCAAAAAAAUGGUGUCCAUUUCUUAGACCUGGCCGGGGAGGAAGAUGGCUCACUUGGAACAGUAGCACUCAUCUCCUGGUUGCAAUUAUGUGACAGGCUGAAGUUCCACACCACAUCUUGGCUCAUACCCAAUACUGACAGUACAAUGGCAUUACAAUGCAGUAGUGAAGUGUGAAGAAGGGCUGCACUUUUAAAGAUGACAUACCUAAUGCUGCCAACUCUUGCAAUUUUGUUACUAGUCUUGCAGUUUUGGCCAAUAUCUACAUCCGCGCAUAUGUGUUUGAGAGACUGAGGGGCUGACUGCCUUGUAGUGAUCAAAACACUUUCUCCCCCCCAGUAAAACUGAUCCUAACAUCGAAAGGUGUUUGUAAACUGAGUACAAAAUGGCUGCCAUGUGCCCCAAUACUGCUGUCUAAAGGGCUUUAGGGGGCGGUAGAAGAUGGUUGAACAGGCUGUAUGUAGAAUUCUAUGUGCCACAGCUGCCGAAUGGAAUCAGAAAGGUCUACAUAAAACUCAGUUCCAUUUCAUCGUUGCCUUUUUGCUGAAAAUCACACAGUGCUGAUUUGUGGCAGCUAUACACAGCUUUACCACUAAGUGGAGCCACACAAAUAUUUUUAAAAGCAGUCAUAACAAUUACAUCCUACGUUGCAGAUGAGCCACGUUACAGCGUAGUUAAAUUCUAGGCUUAGCAGAUGAACUUCUUGCACCAGUGAUGGAUUAUUUAAAUAGGCCUAGUCUUUCACAAGCUAGUUGUUCAAAUAGUUCAGUGCUGCCUAGUGAACAAGUUUGUGGACCUAAACCUGCCUUUAAUACUGUGCCAUGUACCUGUGAUGUCUCACUGGACCGAGUGUGUACUUAUGCAGCUGUCAACAUGGAAUUGAAUAUUGUCAUUUAAGAACACGGCAGCAUAUGGCUGGCCCUAUGUUUUGUGAGACCUUAUGCAAAUUAACAUUAGCAGAUCCUCUUCCAGUACCCCCAUCAUGUCUGUCUCGUUUCUCCCACACCUCAGCAUCCUGUUUAAAAUAUAGUGACUCUCCUAAUUGUGAGGCUCUGUGGCUUCUAGUCACCUCCUGGGAAACCAGGAGAGAAAGCUGAACCUUUUGAAGCUAAGUCGGGAAGGAGAGUUAAGAAAUGCAGUAAGUGGCCUAACAGAGUCAGCUGAGAUCACAGAAAAGAAAUCAGGAGGCUGACCAGCUGGGUACAAGCUCAGGACCCUGAGAGAGAAGGUCUCUUGUGUGGCCACAUAGGUCAUAAAGACCUACAGUUGCUUCUGCUGCAGUGGCAUGUCACUUCAAGGAAUCUGAAUUUGCUGUUUGAUAGAAUAUGUUCAGAUGCAAAGAUUUGUUCCUUCAUCGGGUCAAUUUUUCUACAGCAUUUAACUGUGCUUGCCACAAAACAACAGCAAACGCCACUGGAGAACCCAGCAGUGAGCCUCUUUAGGAUUUUGGCUCCGGUGCUGUCCUCAUAUUUGACUGAAUACACACACAUACUUUGAGUCAAAGGCAAGCUAGCCACAUUCUGGUGUCUGACUUAUAACAAAGGUUCUGAAGGCUUCCUCUGAUAUAAAGUGUUUAAUGAAUGCAUAAUGUAUGCCACAUUUUCCCAUUUGGUAGUAGUUAUGGCUUACAUUGUCUUAAGUGAAGGAUAAAUGUAUAUGGAGUACACUUCUUAGUAUAGUAGAGACAUUUGAAUUCUAGAAGAUACAAAGCAUCACCAGAUGCACAGAGUGAUGCCCUAGGGCCACAAUAUUAAAAAUAAACUUUUUCUCAUAUUUUUCAAGAAAACCACCCUGCAAUAUUUCAUUAGUAGUAUAAAUGAGGUAUUUUAUGAUCCUUUGCAUCAUUACUGCUUGAAAAUAUUUUUUAUCUGAUCAGAUAGUUCUGAAUAGGUUCUUAGUAGAUACAUGUCUUGGGAUGCUAAGUUUUAAAGAAAGUCCAUCUCUUCAAAUAUAAGCCAGAUGAUCACUGAACACAGAACAUGGAUGCAACACAGAAUGUUAAAGUGCGUUCAGUGCACAAAAUAUUAAUACUCUUCACUGGAAAGUGAACUGUGAUUGGCUUCAAAUAAUCCCUGACUCAGACAGAAAAAUAUGUAACAAAUGGUUUUAAUUUCCCCUCAGGACAAAACAAUAUUACAUUGGCAGCGACUGGCAUAUUAGCAUGCAGCUCAAAUGAAGAAACUGCCUAAAUAUGUGUCAACUACUUAUGCUAAACAAUCUGUUCCAUCUUGUAUUUAGCUGUGACACUGAGUAAGUUUCCCAGACCUGAAGAAGAGUUCUGUGUAGCUCAAAAGCUUGUCUUUGUCACCAACAGAAGUUGGUCCAAUAGAAGAUAUUACCUCACCCACCUUCUCUCGCUAGUACAGGUACAGUCAUAGCAUGUGUUUGGCAGGGAAUUAGCAGCAUGCAGGUUAGAAGCACAAAGGAGAAUGGAUAGAUUAAUAAAAACAAUCGGAGUGGUAGAUCUUGUUCAGCCACCAAGAGCAACUCCAGCCAUGUGAGUAAUUUAUGGCUGUAGCCAUACUAGAAAAGGCCAAAGAGGAGAAAAAGGGUGAGCGGGGACAGCAGGAAAUUGCAGAGGGUAUAAGGUAACUGAGCUCAGAUUUGGACCCUCAUUUUUGUAUUUAUUCUAGCUUUGAAUUACUUAUUAUUUCACUUUCAGAAGGAGACACUAUAUAGCAGCAUUUUUCAAACUUCGGGUUGCGACCCAGUACUGGUCAGGCACUGGGUCGCUCUGGUCAGCACCACCGACUGGGACGUUAAAAGUCCCGUCGGCGGUGCUGCCCAGCUAAGCCAGGUUAGUGCCUACCUGUUUCGACAUCGCGCUGCGCCCCGGAAGCAGCCAGCAGCAGGUCUGGCUUCUAGGCAGAGGGGUCUGAGCACCGGCUCCAC